RNAcentral lists this ribosomal RNA (471 nucleotides) under uncultured bacterium. Its description in RNAcentral is "bacterial SSU rRNA". It matches the Rfam family "Bacterial small subunit ribosomal RNA", at positions 28 to 491 of the family's 1533-position model. The record is from RNAcentral.
GAUGAACGCUAGCGGCAGGCUUAACACAUGCAAGUCGAGGGGCAGCACGGGUAGCAAUACCUGGUGGCGACCGGCGCAAGGGUGCGUAACGCGUGAGCAACAUGCCCUAUACAGGGGGAUAAUCCAGGGAAACUUGGUCUAAUAUCCCAUAGUAUUUAGAGGAGGCAUCUUCUAUAAAUUAAAGCUUCGGUGGUAUAGGAUUGGCUCGCGUGACAUUAGCUAGAUGGUGAGGUAACGGCUCACCAUGGCAAUGAUGUCUAGGGGUUCUGAGAGGAAGGCCCCCCACACUGGGACGUGAGACACGGCCCAGACUCCUACGGGAGGGCAGCAGUGAGGAAUAAUUGGACAAUGGAUGGAAAUCUGAUCCAGCCAUGCCGCGUGCAGGAAGACAGCCCUAUGGGUUGUAAACUGCUUUUAUAUGGGAGCAAUAAGGUCUACGUGUAGACUGAUGAGAGUACCAUAUGAAUAAGC